This 105-nucleotide transfer RNA is filed under the name Colletotrichum godetiae. RNAcentral's name for it is "tRNA-Phe". It matches the Rfam family "tRNA". From Rfam's summary of the family: Transfer RNA (tRNA) molecules are approximately 80 nucleotides in length. Their secondary structure includes four short double-helical elements and three loops (D, anti-codon, and T loops). The record is from RNAcentral. Lineage: Eukaryota; Fungi; Ascomycota; Sordariomycetes; Glomerellales; Glomerellaceae.
GCGGACAUAGCUCAGUUGGGAGAGCGUCAGACUGAAGUGGGAUUCGUUCCUGCAAACUUCAUUCAAUUCAUCUGAAGGUCGUGUGUUCAAUCCACACUGGCCGCA